Myotis brandtii (Brandt's bat) is the source of this 92-nucleotide non-coding RNA. The record is from Rfam. Lineage: Eukaryota; Metazoa; Chordata; Mammalia; Chiroptera; Vespertilionidae.
UGUCACUUGGGUUCAUUUUAGCUGGUUAAUGGACUGUUGCUUCUCUCCUCUUCCACUCAUCUUUUGCACUUUUUGCAGCCAAAGACUUACUU